RNAcentral lists this ribosomal RNA (785 nucleotides) under Dieunomia nevadensis. Its description in RNAcentral is "SSU rRNA". It matches the Rfam family "Eukaryotic small subunit ribosomal RNA", at positions 457 to 1201 of the family's 1831-position model. Lineage: Eukaryota; Metazoa; Arthropoda; Insecta; Hymenoptera; Halictidae. The record is from RNAcentral.
CGGGGAGGUAGUGACGAAAAAUAACGAUACGGGACUCAUCCGAGGCCCCGUAAUCGGAAUGAGUACACUUUAAAUCCUUUAACAAGGAUCCAUUGGAGGGCAAGUCUGGUGCCAGCAGCCGCGGUAAUUCCAGCUCCAAUAGCGUAUAUUAAAGUUGUUGCGGUUAAAAAGCUCGUAGUUGAAUCUGUGUGUCACAGUGUCGGUUCACCGCUCGCGGUGUUUAACUGGCAUUAUGUGGUACGUCCUACCGGUGGGCUUUGCUCUUCACGGGGCGGUCCAACCAAUAUCCCAUCGCGGUGCUCUUCACUGAGUGUCGAGGUGGGCCGGUACGUUUACUUUGAACAAAUUAGAGUGCUCAAAGCAGGCUAUCUUCGCCUGAAUACUGUGUGCAUGGAAUAAUGGAAUAGGACCUCGGUUCUAUUUUGUUGGUUUUCGGAACCCCGAGGUAAUGAUUAAUAGGGACAGAUGGGGGCAUUCGUAUUGCGACGUUAGAGGUGAAAUUCUUGGAUCGUCGCAAGACGGACAGAAGCGAAAGCAUUUGCCAAAAAUGUUUUCAUUAAUCAAGAACGAAAGUUAGAGGUUCGAAGGCGAUCAGAUACCGCCCUAGUUCUAACCAUAAACGAUGCCAGCCAGCGAUCCGCCGAAGUUCCUCCGAUGACUCGGCGGGCAGCUUCCGGGAAACCAAAGCUUUUGGGUUCCGGGGGAAGUAUGGUUGCAAAGCUGAAACUUAAAGGAAUUGACGGAAGGGCACCACCAGGAGUGGAGCCUGCGGCUUAAUUUGACUC